GAUAACAGCCGGAAACGGCUGCUAAAACCGCAUGACAUGUGGAUACCGCAUGGUAACCACAUCAAAUAUUUAUAGGUACAGGAUGGGCCCGCGUCUGAUUAGCCAGUUGGCAGGGUAACGGCCUACCAAAGCGACGAUCAGUAGCCGGCUUGAGAGAGUGACCGGCCACAUUGGGACUGAGACACGGCCCAAACUCCUACGGGAGGCAGCAGUGGGGGAUAUUGCACAAUGGGGGGAACCCUGAUGCAGCGACGCCGCGUGAGUGAAGAAGCAUCUCGGUAUGUAAAGCUCUAUCGGCAGGGAAGAAAAAAAUGACAGUACCUGACUAAGAAGCCCCGGCUAACUACGUGCCAGCAGCCGCGGUAAUACGUAGGGGGCAAGCGUUAUCCAGAUUUACUGGGUGUAAAGGGAGCGUAGACGGCAGCACAAGUCUGGAGUGAAAUCCCGGGGCUUAACCCCGGAACUGCUUUGGAAACUGUGCGGCUGGAGUGCAGGAGGGGUAAGCGGAAUUCCUAGUGUAGCGGUGAAAUGCGUAGAUAUUAGGAGGAACACCGGUGGCGAAGGCGGCUUACUGGACUGUAACUGACGUUGAGGCUCGAAAGCGUGGGGAGCAAACAGGAUUAGAUACCCUGGUAGUCCACGCCGUAAACGAUGAUUACUAGGUGU
RNAcentral lists this ribosomal RNA (666 nucleotides) under uncultured bacterium. Its description in RNAcentral is "bacterial SSU rRNA". It matches the Rfam family "Bacterial small subunit ribosomal RNA", at positions 142 to 823 of the family's 1533-position model. The record is from RNAcentral.